GGAUUACCUCAGUAACGGCGAGUGAAGCGGUAAGAGCUCAAAUUUGAAAUCUGGCCUCGGCCCGAGUUGUAAUUUGCAGAAGGUGCUUCGGGCGUGGUUCGGUCAAAGUUCCUUGGGACAGGACGUCGCAGAGGGUGAGAACCCCGUACGACCCCCCCCACGCCCGUGUGAAGCCCUCUCGACGAGUCGAGUUGUUUGGGAAUGCAGCUCAAAAUGGGUGGUAUAUUUCAUCUAAAGCUAAAUAUGGGCCAGAGACCGAUAGCGCACAAGUAGAGUGAUCGAAAGAUGAAAAGCACUUUGGAAAGAGGGUUAAACAGUACGUGAAAUUGUUGAAAGGGAAGCGCUCGCGAUCAGAUUGGACGGGGUGCUCAGCAGGGCUUCGGGCCUGUGCACUCACCGCGUCCAGGCCAGCAUCGAUUUGGGGGGUGGGAUAAAGGCCGGGAGAAUGUGACCCUCGGGUGUUAUAGCUCCCGGUGCCAUGCCGCCCCCGGGAUCGAGGACCGCGCUUCGGCUAGGAUGCUGGCGUAAUGAUCGUGAGCGACCCGUCUUGAAACACGGACCAAGGAGUGGACCUAGCGCGCGAGUGUUUGGGUGUCAAACCCCGGCGCGGAAUGAAAGUGAGCAGGUGAGAGCUUCGCGCAUCACCGACCGAUCCUCUCGCGUGGAUUUGAGUAGGAGCGCGCUGGGUCCGACCCGAAAGAUGGUGAUCUAUACGUGAAUAGGGUGAAGCCAGAGGAAACUCUGGUGGAGGCUCGCAGCGGUUCUGACGUGCAAAUCGAUCGUCAAAUUUGCGUAUAGGGGGCGAAAGACUAAUCGAACCAUCUAGUAGCUG
RNAcentral lists this ribosomal RNA (832 nucleotides) under Ciboria shiraiana. Its description in RNAcentral is "eukaryotic LSU rRNA". It matches the Rfam family "Eukaryotic large subunit ribosomal RNA", at positions 72 to 953 of the family's 3401-position model. Lineage: Eukaryota; Fungi; Ascomycota; Leotiomycetes; Helotiales; Sclerotiniaceae. The record is from RNAcentral.